RNAcentral lists this long non-coding RNA (2095 nucleotides) under Marmota monax (woodchuck). Lineage: Eukaryota; Metazoa; Chordata; Mammalia; Rodentia; Sciuridae. The record is from RNAcentral.
GUAGGAUCCAGUAGGGGACAGAGCAGAAACCUGCAGGUCCUCAUCAUGACAUUGACCUUCACAUUAGUUAGCAGUAAUAUCAUUUUGUUCUACUUUGUUUGUGGCACUCAGGACUGAAACCAGAGGGGCUCUACCACUGACCUACAUCCCCUUUUUUUAAUUCUGAGACAUGGUUUGCUCAGUGGCCCAGGGCCUUGACUUUCUGAAUAGCUGGGAUUACCGCAUAUGCCUGGUGUCAUAUCGUAUAUUACUGUCGUCCACAAACCACUCACGACAUCCACAGACACAGGGACCCUUUCCUUCAAGGGUGCACCUGACCCCAGAAACUUCCCCUUCUUUGGCAACCUCAGAUUACAUUCCAGGAAUGUGGGUCUUCAUUCGUCUGGUCUACGAGUGUGGGUCCUUGGUGAACCUGUCUCCCCUCCCCAGCUCCCAGACUGAUGACACCUUGGGUGGCCACAUUGUCACCACGAGUAGGACCUGGUGGUGUGGAUGCCAGCAGAGAACUUGACACACAGCAUUGUCUAGCAGGAGAUUGGCAGACUGCAAAACACCCCUGACCAGAGGCCGGGUUCAACCCUCAGGACAACACAAGCUGUGGCUUGGGUCAGUUCCUCAAGGUCUCUACCACUGUGGGGAAGGGACCGGGCCCAGCCUGAGUAAGGUGGACGCUAAAUGUGCAUCCUCAGUUGAAUUCACCCAGCGUCGUCUCUCCCCCUCCCCAUUCCCUGCCCUGUGUCCCCCAGGGCACUUCUGUGCAGGGAGGCUCCUCCUGGGACCUCCUCCAUGAAGUCAGGGGACAAAGCAGGAACCACGAGCCUACUGUGCACAGUCCCAGGGUCCCAGCUAGAAGAGUCUUUCCCACCUUUUGAGAUGACAGUGGCCCAGGUGAGCUGUGGGCUCCCCCGGGCGGAGACAGCAGGGGACCAGGAAACAGAGAAGCCACAGCCACGCUCCAGCAUCAGGGGAUUACAUCUCCCAGAGAGCUGGGGACUCCAGCAGGGGCCAGAGAGUGAGAUGGCCCUGUCCUCACCUUCUCUUCCCCCUUUGGCCACGCCCAGCAGCCUUGGCAAGGGGACUGGAGAUGGUGACUGUGAGACCUGUGCCCACCUGGCCUUGGCAGGGGCUGGGGCAGGGGCUGGGGCAGGCUCGGAGGACACAGGGGAAGCUAAAGCUGGGCUUCUUGGCCUGGCCAUCCCUCUCUGAGGCUGGGCCACCAGCCACCAUCUCCACAGAGGGGGUGCUGGAGGAGGUGGCUGCCUGGGAACCCUGCCUAGGGCCCCAAAUUCCAGAGAAAAGCCCAGGGAGUCAUCCAGGCUGAGUCAGCAGGAGAGGGCGGGCCAGGGGGACCUGCCGCUGAGUCACUGGGGCCCCCAGGGCUGCCCUGUCUUCCUCCGCUGCCCGCCAGCCAAGAGGUCACCCAAUCUGGGUUCAAAUCUCAGCCCUGCCACUUCAGUGAGGUUGUGACCCUGGGGGAGACUGAAGGGAGACAGUAAGGUGGUGUCUGGUGAAAUGAGUGACUACAUGGAAAGUGCUCAGAAUGAGGCCAUGCUAGUGACAAGGCCAGACCUUAUCACUGUGGGACUGCCCUGUAGACACAUCUUCCAGGGUCAGGCCUUCAGUCUUCUGAUCAGACCCCCCAGGUAGGUCCUCCUUUCAUCCCAUCGGUCAGAUGACCUGGGGUGGGGCAGGUCACAGGGCUGGUGCCUGAGGACCCUGUAGACGUCCCUGUGGUGUUGCGCUCCUCCCCCACCUGCCAGCAAGUUCUCUGCCCAGGGUCCGUGCCCAGCCCCGUUUGGUGACCUGCGGACCCGAAUGAAUGGACCCAGAGGUUGCCCUGAGGAAAUGGCCCCCCCACCACGGCUUCCCGUUAUGUUUCUUGCAGCAGAAGAGGAAGCAGCCCUGGGCUCGGCACAGGGACAUCGGCUGUGCCACCGGGGAACCGGCACAGCGGGCACAGCGGGCGGGGGUCGGGCAGAAGGAGCGGCCGGCAAAGAAGUCCCGGAAAUGUCACCCUCGGCUCCCGAAGGGAGUCGUCGCUUGCUGUAACUUGCAGGUCCGCGCCGACGGCCGCUGGCCCCGGGUCGCCGUGACU